UGGGGAAUAUUGGACAAUGGGGGGAACCCUGAUCCAGCCAUGCCGCGUGUGUGAAGAAGGCCUUAUGGUUGUAAAGCACUUUAAGCGAGGAGGAGGGUACUGGUAUUAAUACUACCAGCUACUGGACGUUACUCGCAGAAUAAGCACCGGCUAACUCUGUGCCAGCAGCCGCGGUAAUACAGAGGGUGCGAGCGUUAAUCGGAUUUACUGGGCGUAAAGCGUGCGUAGGCGGCUAAUUAAGUCAAAUGUGAAAUCCCCGAGCUUAACUUGGGAAUUGCAUUCGAUACUGGUUAGCUAGAGUGUGGGAGAGGAUGGUAGAAUUCCAGGUGUAGCGGUGAAAUGCGUAGAGAUCUGGAGGAAUACCGAUGGCGAAGGCAGCCAUCUGGCCUAACACUGACGCUGAGGUGCGAAAGCAUGGGGAGCAAACAGG
RNAcentral lists this ribosomal RNA (430 nucleotides) under Pseudomonadota bacterium. Its description in RNAcentral is "Proteobacteria bacterium partial 16S ribosomal RNA". It matches the Rfam family "Bacterial small subunit ribosomal RNA", at positions 355 to 776 of the family's 1533-position model. The record is from RNAcentral. Lineage: Bacteria; Pseudomonadati; Pseudomonadota.